Molecule: long non-coding RNA, 292 nt
Filed under: Hordeum vulgare
Lineage: Eukaryota; Viridiplantae; Streptophyta; Magnoliopsida; Poales; Poaceae
Description: long non-coding RNA (HVUL_LNC008666)
Source: RNAcentral
CAUAAUCCAUUCUUUUUCUUGAAGGGAGGGGGGAAAAAACAUCCUCGUCGUGUGGCUUUCCGGUGAGGUUUGGUUCCUCCUGGUUCGUUAUCUCCCCACCGCCUCCCACCGCCGUCCCCGACCUCCAUUUCCACCGCCGUCCCCGACCUCCAUUUCCACCGCCAUCGCCAGGUGAGUUCACGGGGGGCGAAGGCCCGCACCGCAAUCUCCCAAUCCAGAAUUCAACCCGCCCUCUAAAAUCUCCAGCUUUUGACUGCUUCCGCUGCCACAGGGGAACGGCGGGCGGGCGGGC